GAAGGUAGCAUAAUCAGUAGUCUUUUAAUUGAAGGCUUGUAUGAAUGAUUGGACGAGAUAUUAACUGUUUCAUUUAAAAUUUUUAUAGAAUUUUAUUUUUUAGUUAAAAAGCUAAAAUUAUAUUAAAAGACGAGAAGACCCUAUAAAUCUUAAUAUUUAUUAUUAUUUUAAUUAUAAAGAUUAUUUUAAUUAUGAUUUUUAUAAAUAUUUUAUUGGGGUGAUAUUAAAAUUUAAAAAACUUUUAAUUUUUUAUAACAUUGAUUUAUGAUUAACUGAUCCAUUAUUAAUGAUUAAAAAUUUAAGUUACUUUAGGGAUAACAGCGUAAUUUUUUUGGAGAGUUCAUAUCGAUAAAAAAGAUUGCGACCUCGAUGUUGGAUUAA
Molecule: ribosomal RNA, 381 nt
Filed under: Callomyia amoena
Lineage: Eukaryota; Metazoa; Arthropoda; Insecta; Diptera; Platypezidae
Description: partial 16S ribosomal RNA
Source: RNAcentral